Populus nigra (black poplar) is the source of this 1696-nucleotide RNA transcript. RefSeq lists it as uncharacterized. The record is from RefSeq and is a predicted model, not a curated record. The transcript is spliced from 4 exons. NCBI's taxonomy places the organism in Eukaryota, Viridiplantae, Streptophyta, Magnoliopsida, Malpighiales, Salicaceae.
UUCUUUAAUUAAUAUUUAGGAUUCAACAAUUUAAGUUUAGUAACGACCGGAAUCUUCUUUUUUUUCUCGCUGAAACCUCCCGUGUCCUUCCCUUGUGUCUCGCUUCUUUCUCAUCCUUUCUGUCUAUUUUCUUUAUAUUUAUUAUAUUACUAUCUGUUGCUUUUAUUUUUAUUUUCUAACAUUGAGAGAGAGAGAGAGAGAGAGAGAGAGAGAUAGCCCAUUUUGACUGCCUUUGUCUGCUUCGGAUCUGGGGUUUUCUCUCUUUCUCUACAAGGGUUUUGUUAGUUUUUGUGAUUAAUUUUGAGAUUGACAGCCUGGGUUUCGGAAGGAGUCAAAGGUUGAGGCUUUUUUAGUGAAAAGGGCAAGUUAGUUUGCUAUUACUGUGGACUCUGUAUGUCUUCAUUUGCGAGUUAUAACUGGAAAGUGUUGUUUACUUGCUGAAGUUGGAUAUCUUUAUCGUCAAUGCUCGCAGUGCUCUGUACUUUAUCAUGUAAAAAAAGGUUAAUUUCGUAUGAUGGGUUGACUUUGAGGUUUAAUUUCUUUUAGCGGUCUUGUUCUUGUGAAUCUAUUUUGGGCUUUAAUUGUUUAGAGUGAGAAAUUGAAGACAUCAGACUGGCUUUGGUUGCUAGAAAUAGAUCAAAUGGCUCCAAGAGAUAGAGAUUUUGUGGUUGAUCUUGAAAGUGGGGUGAGAAAUAGUGUUGAAGAUUCAUGUAAAGAUGCAGGUUCAGGAGUAAAAACACCAACAAAGCCGUUGCUUGCUAAUGUUUGUGGGGCAUUCGCUGAUGGGACAGCCAAUGGUGAAGAGAGGGUAAAUUUGUGUGGCUACGUGUCAGACUCUGGUGGUGGUUCUGCAGACCAUGCGAAGUUGGAGGGUGAAAUAUCUGUUGAUCAAGUAGAGAAGAAAAUGGUAAAGGGGAAGCAUAAAAAAACGAGCAAUAAAAAGCCUCCUAGGCCUCCACGAGGUCCAUCAUUGGAUGCUGCUGACCAGAAGCUGAUCAAGGAGAUUUCUGAACUAGCCAUGUUGAAGCGUGCAAGGAUUGAGCGGAUGAAGGCCUUGAAGAAAUUAAAAGCUACAAAGCCAUCAUCCAAUAACAAUCUAUUUGCCGUGGUGCUCACCAUUCUAUUUUGCCUUGUGAUUCUCUUUCAAGUUUCAUGCAAUUCAUUUUGCAGGAAUGUCAUCCAGAGCUACAUCUGCAAGCUCAAUGGGAUCUCCUGUGUCAUCAGAGACAGCUGGUGAUGGUUUAAUUUCAGUUCAAUACUUUGGGAAUCCAUCUGCAAGCGAGUCUAAUGGACCUGGGUCUGGAUAUCCGAACUUCAUAGAAACAAUUGCUGGUUCAGAUCCUCCCAAAAAUCCAAGAACUGUGCGAUGAGUGGGGAAAAGAAGACAGUUACUGUAAUCAAGCUUGUAUUGUUGAAAGAAAUUUACCUGCUUUCUUGCACUCCUCAUGCAAGCCAUAUACUUGCACUUUUUGUACCAGUAUCCCUCCAAGAUCAAAGUUUGUCGUGUAAUUUAUCCCUUACAUGCAUAGUGUUUGGAAUGAGUUAGAUUACCGUAAAAGUUUACUGGUGGAUUUUUGGCGAAAAACAGUUUUGUGCUGUGGCCUUUUAGGUUGAGCCAGUUAUGAUAAGUUCCCUCCUUACAGCGGACUUACUGUAUAAUUCUCCAUAAUGAAACAAAGGCAGGUUUGUUUGUGAA